Molecule: ribosomal RNA, 191 nt
Filed under: uncultured bacterium
Lineage: Bacteria
Description: partial 16S ribosomal RNA
Rfam family: Bacterial small subunit ribosomal RNA
Source: RNAcentral
UACGGGAGGCAGCAGUGGGGAAUAUUGGACAAGGGGGCAACCCUGAUCCAGCGAUGCCGCGUGUGUGAAGAAGGCCUGAGGGUUGUAAAGCACUUUUAGUGGGGAGGAUUGGCAUGUGGUUAAUAACCAUGUGCAGAGACGUUACCCACCAUAAACAGCACCGGCUAACUCCGUGCCACCACCCGCGGUAA